UGAGAGGAGGGGCUUCUGCUGGCGGGGGCUGAAUUCAGCACCAGGGUAUAAUACAGAACCCACAGUGCUAGAACCGGUUCUUUUACUUCUAUAAAGGGUUCUGCAUGGUUUAGAACCUGUGCACCACUGGCCACAUUAUUGGAAACACCUGCUCGAAUGAACAGUUCAGUAAUCUCUGAUUGUGAUGAGUUUUGACACUGUACGGUUCUGUUGUCUAGAACGUAAAACAUCUGUGUGUGUGUGUGUGUGUGUGCGUGUGUGUGUGUGUGUGUUCUCAGGAUGCUGCGGGUGCUGCUCGGGGUGUGUGUGUGGGGGGUGGUGUGUGUGUGCCAGCAGCCCAACACCAGGAGUGAUAGUGAACACAACCCGGACCAACCGGAUCACAUCACCCUCAAACAGACCUAUGUGUCUGUGGACAUGGGUGGGUCGUCCUCCUCGGUGUUGGGUAGUUGUGGACGGCUGGACGGAUGGAAGGAUGGAGGGAUGAGUUACGGUUCUCUCUCAGACACUCCCUCCAUCAUCACUCUUCCUCCCUCCCUCUCUCCUCCUCCUCUCGCCUCCCCCUUUCCCCCGCCCCGUCCCCCGCGUCCCGUCCCCCUCAGGACCAUCUCAGCUCAGGACCUGCAGAGGAGCUUCCUCUGAGCAUCAGGACGAUUCCGGUUACAGCGCCCGCGUCCUGCUCCCCGAUACAGUACAGUAAUAGAUACGGGUUAGCGGGUUAGCGUAUGCUAGCGCUAGUUCACCGUGCUGAAGAUAUAACAUCUAUAACAAUGUUUCUAUAACAGAUAUUCCUCCACUGUUCUGCAGUUAAUGAUUCUUUCUUAGAUUUCUUACUCUCUCUCACGUUUAGCUCACGCUCGGCUCACGCUCGGCUCACGCUCGGCUCACGUUGGUUACACUAGUGAGUGCAGCGCACCUACUAAGUGGACCCUGGCUGUAUCGACAGUACUCAGACAGUAGAGAGUAACUACAGGUCAAUAAACAUUAGCUUACUCUAAUGUAAGCA
RNAcentral lists this long non-coding RNA (1006 nucleotides) under Astyanax mexicanus (Mexican tetra). Its description in RNAcentral is "lncRNA (ENSAMXG00005009915.1)". The record is from RNAcentral. Lineage: Eukaryota; Metazoa; Chordata; Actinopteri; Characiformes; Acestrorhamphidae.